RNAcentral lists this ribosomal RNA (485 nucleotides) under uncultured bacterium. RNAcentral describes it as "partial 16S ribosomal RNA". It matches the Rfam family "Bacterial small subunit ribosomal RNA", at positions 28 to 523 of the family's 1533-position model. The record is from RNAcentral.
GACGAACGCUGGCGGCGUGCUUAACACAUGCAAGUCGAACGGUGAAAGCGGAGCUUGCUCCGCUGGAUCAGUGGCGAACGGGUGAGUAACACGUGGGCAACCUGCCCCUCACUUCGGGAUAACUCCGGGAAACCGGGGCUAAUACCGGAUAUGACCUCCUUGGGCAUCCUUGGAGGUGGAAAGUUUUUCGGUGAGGGAUGGGCCCGCGGCCUAUCAGCUUGUUGGUGAGGUAGUGGCUCACCAAGGCGACGACGGGUAGCCGGCCUGAGAGGGCGACCGGCCAGACUGGGACUGAGACACGGCCCAGACUCCUACGGGGGGCAGCAGGGGGGAAUAUUGCGCAAUGGGCGAAAGCCUGACGCAGCAACGCCGCGUGCGGGAUGACGGCCUUCGGGUUGUAAACCGCUUUCAGCAGGGAAGAAGCCGCAAGGUGACGGAACCUGCAGAAGAAGCACCGGCUAACUACGUGCCAGCCGCCGCUGUAA